RNAcentral lists this ribosomal RNA (1506 nucleotides) under Escherichia coli. Its description in RNAcentral is "partial 23S ribosomal RNA". It matches the Rfam family "Bacterial large subunit ribosomal RNA", at positions 1308 to 2797 of the family's 2925-position model. Lineage: Bacteria; Pseudomonadati; Pseudomonadota; Gammaproteobacteria; Enterobacterales; Enterobacteriaceae. The record is from RNAcentral.
AACGAUAAAGCGGGUGAAAAGCCCGCUCGCCGGAAGACCAAGGGUUCCUGUCCAACGUUAAUCGGGGCAGGGUGAGUCGACCCCUAAGGCGAGGCCGAAAGGCGUAGUCGAUGGGAAACAGGUUAAUAUUCCUGUACUUGGUGUUACUGCGAAGGGGGGACGGAGAAGGCUAUGUUGGCCGGGCGACGGUUGUCCCGGUUUAAGCGUGUAGGCUGGUUUUCCAGGCAAAUCCGGAAAACCAAGGCUGAGGCGUGAUGACGAGGCACUACGGUGCUGAAGCGACAAAUGCCCUGCUUCCAGGAAAAGCCUCUAAGCAUCAGGUAACAUCAAAUCGUACCCCAAACCGACACAGGUGGUCAGGUAGAGAAUACCAAGGCGCUUGAGAGAACUCGGGUGAAGGAACUAGGCAAAAUGGUGCCGUAACUUCGGGAGAAGGCACGCUGAUAUGUAGGUGAAGCGACUUGCUCGUGGAGCUGAAAUCAGUCGAAGAUACCAGCUGGCUGCAACUGUUUAUUAAAAACACAGCACUGUGCAAACACGAAAGUGGACGUAUACGGUGUGACGCCUGCCCGGUGCCGGAAGGUUAAUUGAUGGGGUUAGCGGUAACGCGAAGCUCUUGAUCGAAGCCCCGGUAAACGGCGGCCGUAACUAUAACGGUCCUAAGGUAGCGAAAUUCCUUGUCGGGUAAGUUCCGACCUGCACGAAUGGCGUAAUGAUGGCCAGGCUGUCUCCACCCGAGACUCAGUGAAAUUGAACUCGCUGUGAAGAUGCAGUGUACCCGCGGCAAGACGGAAAGACCCCGUGAACCUUUACUAUAGCUUGACACUGAACAUUGAGCCUUGAUGUGUAGGAUAGGUGGGAGGCUUUGAAGUGUGGACGCCAGUCUGCAUGGAGCCGACCUUGAAAUACCACCCUUUAAUGUUUGAUGUUCUAACGUUGGCCCGUAAUCCGGGUUGCGGACAGUGUCUGGUGGGUAGUUUGACUGGGGCGGUCUCCUCCUAAAGAGUAACGGAGGAGCACGAAGGUUGGCUAAUCCUGGUCGGACAUCAGGAGGUUAGUGCAAUGGCAUAAGCCAGCUUGACUGCGAGCGUGACGGCGCGAGCAGGUGCGAAAGCAGGUCAUAGUGAUCCGGUGGUUCUGAAUGGAAGGGCCAUCGCUCAACGGAUAAAAGGUACUCCGGGGAUAACAGGCUGAUACCGCCCAAGAGUUCAUAUCGACGGCGGUGUUUGGCACCUCGAUGUCGGCUCAUCACAUCCUGGGGCUGAAGUAGGUCCCAAGGGUAUGGCUGUUCGCCAUUUAAAGUGGUACGCGAGCUGGGUUUAGAACGUCGUGAGACAGUUCGGUCCCUAUCUGCCGUGGGCGCUGGAGAACUGAGGGGGGCUGCUCCUAGUACGAGAGGACCGGAGUGGACGCAUCACUGGUGUUCGGGUUGUCAUGCCAAUGGCACUGCCCGGUAGCUAAAUGCGGAAGAGAUAAGUGCUGAAAGCAUCUAAGCACGAAACUUGC